AGCCUGGCUCGGUGGCUUCAUAGCCAUUUCCAUCAUCAGUUUCCUGUCUCUGCUGGGAGUCAUCUUGGUGCCACUCAUGAACCGAGUGUUCUUCAAGUUCCUGCUGAGCUUCCUCGUGGCGCUGGCCGUGGGGACUCUGAGUGGCGACGCUCUGUUACAUCUUCUCCCACAUUCUCAUGCAAGUCAUCACCACAGUCAUAGCCAUGAAGAACCAGCAAUGGAAAUGAAAAGAGGUCCCCUGUUCAGCCACCCCCUUUGAUUCCCAGCAGCCCACGCUGUUGGAAGAGGAAGAGGUCAUGAUAGCCCACGCACACCCACAAGAAGUCUACAACGAAUACGUGCCCAGGGGCUGCAAGAACAAGUGCCACUCACACUUCCACGACACGCUGGGCCAGUCUGACGACCUCAUUCACCACCACCACGACUACCACCACAUUCUGCACCACCACCACCACCAGAACCACCACCCCCACAGCCACAGCCAGCGCUACUCUCGGGAGGAGCUGAAGGAUGCUGGCAUUGCCACGUUGGCCUGGAUGGUGAUCAUGGGCGAUGGGCUGCACAAUUUCAGCGACGGCCUUGCCAUCGGUAUGCCACUACGUGGCUGGUCCUUGCUGAUCAGCCUGGAAAUAGGACAUUAAAUGUUCUCUCAAACUU
This 657-nucleotide long non-coding RNA is filed under the name Rattus norvegicus (Norway rat). RNAcentral describes it as "long non-coding RNA NONRATT013700". Lineage: Eukaryota; Metazoa; Chordata; Mammalia; Rodentia; Muridae. The record is from RNAcentral.